CCGGCGGAAAAACAAAUCGGACGGAAUAUGAGUGAUUCCGGUUGGUGUAGGCCGCGAUUAGGGGUUUGCUGAAGGUGUUGACGGUGAGGUCAUGAUUUCAGGUGGCGGUGGAAUCGAUUGUGGAGAUGGAAGAAGGCGAAGGGUUUGAAUCACGGUGAGAGAGGGUUUGGUGGUGGCGAUUCACGGUGAGGUAAGCGAUUUACACGGAGGUUGAGCGGAGAUGGGAGGACGCGUUAGGUUGUGUUGCGAUGAAGAUGAUGAAGGGUUUGAGGGUUACCGUUGGUGGUGGCGAAAGGGAUUUUGACGGUGGAUUCCGUGGUUGUGUUGGUGGAAGAGGAGGAUGGAGGGUUUUGUGAGGGAGAAAGAGAGUGAGGGAUUUUGAGAGAGGCGGAGGGUUUUGUAAGGGUUUCUGUGAAGUGGAGUGUGAGCGAGAGAGGAGAGGGAAAGGUGAAGUGUGUCAUUUGUGGGUGAGUGAUUUGUGAGGAUCCGCAAUCCGAGAGAGUGAAGGGUCGGUGAAAUAGUGAGGUGUCCAUCUGAGUGGAAUUCUGUUUUGAGUGGAUUGUGGGUAGGCACGUGGAGCGUGUGAGGAUUAUACCAGCAGCUUAUGAGUGAAUUUUUUUGUUUUUAGUGGAUUGGGGGAUCCAAUGUAAGAAAUAUACAUUUUCCAUAAUUGUUAUUUAAAUAAUAAAUCAUAAAAACCUUAGUUAAUAUUUAAUUUAAACUAAUUAAUAUUUAAUUUACACUAACUAAUAUUUAAUUUUAAACACAUUCUAAUUUAUUUUAAUUAAAUAUCAAAAAAAAUAUUGACCCAUUAAAAAUAGAAAUCGAGUACGAAUUUAUUCGAAAAAUUGAACCGGUCACACUAAAAUUGUCAGCACAAAACCCUACUUAAAAAAAAUGCAGUCUUUCUUCAAAUCUUUAACGAUUCAACCGAUUUUCUGUAUUCUCAAAAUAAAUUCAUUCUGACUGACAUAUCAGGCAUUAUUCAUGAUGCAAUGUAUAUAAUGUCAUGCAUGUGAUGCUAAAUUAAAAAUUAAAUUAAUUCUAUGAAAGUUUAAAUAUGCCCGGACAAAAUUGGGGUAUGACACAACCCAGGCAUAUCUUGAUACGACCAGGCGAAUAUCUCCACAUACUCAGCAUCUCAAUCAACCUUCUCUUGACAUCUUCCUUCAAAGCAGCCCCGAUCUUAAUAUCUCUUCUGGCAUCCUCAGUACCGAGAUUAAUAAUCUCCAACUCCUCCUGAUGAGGUUGGAUGACCCUUUCCUCCUGCUUCAAUAAUCUGACCAGUUCCUUAGGGAGUUCACAAUCUUCCUCACUCUCCUCUUCAGCUUGGUAGAUGGGAUUAUUUAAAUCAUACCGAGCCAUAACAGAACUGUUCAUAGUGGAGUCCGUAAGAUCGAUUCUGCAUGUUUAAUGCUUUAUUUUAGAAAAAGAGUUCAAGAAAGUCACAAAAACAAAAACAUUGCCAUUUUUAUUGUUUUUUUUUAAAAAUGAAAAUAAAAACAGAAAGACAGGGAUCACAAAAUUGUUUGCAAAACGUCCUUUAUUAAUGAUAUCAUUGAAAAAACAUGAUGAGGCCCUACAAUGAACCACCACGCCUUGGGCAGAACGUAGGGUUUUGUGCAAAAUGAAAAACAAAAGAAAAUUACUCUGUUUGAAGAGUAACUUGGACCACAUCCUCUGUCGUCCAGUUGUUGAUCGACUCCCCUGGUGCACACGGGCGAACCCAGUUCUCCAGAUCACAAUCACUGUCACAGUCUUCACCACCGGUUGCAAAGACGUCACCAAGAUUCAUCAGCCCAGCGCUGGUAAAGGUACUCGGACCUUUCUGCUCAAUCUGCUCCGCCUGCAGGGGUUGAUAACCAAUACCGAACUUAUCUUCUUUGACAGGCAGGUCCACCAUCUUGCCCCAGCCUUCUGACUUACCAGAGUUGACAACCUCCACUGCCUGCUUGUAUGAUGCAAUUGAGGCACUUGGCUUCUUCUGCUCAGCGAAAGCCACCCUCUCAAGAGCAACAGUCUCGAAUGCCUGGCAUAAAGUUUCAUGGAUCUCGGCCACUCCACCUCUAGCAACUUGAAAGAGAUAGGUGACUCACCAGAAUGUCUUCUUCACCGCACACAGUCACAAUCUGACCGUUCCAGACAUACUUCAGCUUCUGGUGGAGAGUUGACGAAACUGCCCCAGCUGCGUGAAUCCAGGGACGCCCCAAUAAGCAACUAUAUGCUGGCUGAAUGUCCAUCACAUAGAAGACAAUACUUAACACCUCCGGGCCUAUCUUCACCGACAACGUGACUUCACCAAAAACAGACCGUUUGGAUCCAUCAAAAGCACGAACAAUCAGAUCGCUCGGAGUAAGGAUAACCCCUUCAACAUCUAUCUUGCCUAGAGUCUUCUUGGGAAGCACAUUCAAAGACGAACCAGUAUCCACCAACACGUGUGAUAAUACUGCGCCUUUGCACUCCAUGGUAAUAUGCAAGGCCUUGUUAUGGUUGCGACCUUCAGGCGUCAAAUCUAAGUCUGUGAACCCCAAACCAUGCCUGGUACUCACGUUGGCAAUGACACCCUCCAACUGGUUGACAGAGAUCUCUUGAGGCACGUAAGCCAGAUUCAGCAUUUUCAACAAGGCAUUACGGUGUGCCUCAGAGCAUAACAGCAAUGAGAGUAUGGAAAUCUUGGACGGAGUUUGAUUCAGCUGAUCUACAAUCUUGUAGUCACUCUUCUUAAUUAUUUUCAUGAACUCCUCCACGUCUUUCUCAAACGAGCCCUCAGGCGCCUCCUUCUGAGCAGAUUCUUCAUCAACCACAGCUUGUUUACCCUUAGCUUUGGCAAGAGCCUCGACAUUGUUAUCCUUCAACGGUUGUGAAGCAAACAAACGUCCGCUUCUUGUAAAACCUCCUGGUCCCCCAACAUUGUCCACAACGGGACCCACAAUCACAGGAGUUCUACUAGGCACACCAAUAGUCACCGGAGCUUGAUUCACUGGCCUGACCUGACUUUCAGCCCUUCGAUUACUACGGUAAGCAUUGUCAUACUUCCAUGGCACAUCCCUACUGUUCUCAACCGGCCUUCUUCCUGAAGCAACGAUGGUAGUUGGAGCACCGACGGUUACAGGAGCAGAAAUGGUAACAGGAAUACCACUAGUUGUAGGCGCAUUAACAGUUCUCUGGCCACGUCCCUCGGACGGUUUGAAGUAAAUGGUGACAGUUGACACCACCCCACGAUAUUUAACGGCCCGACUAAACUGUAAACAACCCUCAUCGAUCAGAUUCUGAAUACCAGCCCUCAACUGUACACAACCAUCCUCUAAACCAGCACAAUCUAAACAGUCUUGAUCACAACCCGGGUAUACUCCCCCUUUCAACAAACGAUCCUUCACAACACCCAACGGAGUCUGAAUCUCCUCAACACUGACCACCAAGUCUUCAGCUUUACCGUCUUCCAAAUUAUUCACUCUAUGCGCACCAUGCUGAGGCAUAGGAUUGUUCACAACAUUCGGCACAGGAGCAAAAUUGAUAGUUUUGGCGUCAAUUAAGUCCUGGACCUUAUGAUGAAAAGCCCUACAGUUCUCAAUGUGGUGCCCCGGAGCACCAGAAUGGAAAUCACAAUGUACGUUGGCAUCAUACCCAUGUGGUAUUUUUGUCAAUGGAGCCAUAGUACGCAACUCCAUGAACCCCAAUCUGAGCAAUUCGGGCAACAGUUCAGCAUAGGUCAUUGGCAACGGGUCGAAUCGACGAUCCGGCAUUCUCUGUCUAGGCUGAUACGGACGUUGCUGUUGUUUUUGUUGUUGUGGUGGUUGUUGAACCCUCUGUUGUUGCUGUUGUUGACGUGGCUGAGGUGCUGGAAUGGUUACAGCAGCAACCUGGUGAUACUGACCUCUGUUAGUAUUCCUUCGGUGUUGCACAUCAUUAGUCUCACCCUCCCUUCUUCUGGGUGCCCCGGCAAAUGGUUUCUUUGAAGAUGAGGAACCAGCAUCUUGGAUCUUCCCAGCUUUAAUCAAACUCUCUGUCCUUUCUCCAUAGAUUACAACAUCUGAAAAGCUACCAAACGGGCAGCUCCCCAUCCGGUCCAUGAAUACACCUUGCAAUGUACCGAUGAACAUGUCAGUCAAUUCCCUCUCCAGCAUAGGGGGUUGUACUCGUGCAGCCAACUCGCGCCACCUUUGGGCGUACUCCUUGAAACUCUCUCCAGACUUUUGACAAAGACUUUGCAACUGAGUCCGGCUCGGCGCCAUGUCCAUAUUAUGUUUGUACUGCCUCAAGAAGGCCUCACCCAAAUCCCUCCAGCUUCGGAUAGAUUCUCUCUUUAACUCCAUGUACCAAACCAAGGAAGCCCCAGACAAGCUGUCCUGGAAAAAAUACAUCCACAUUUUCUCGUCGUCUGUAUAAGCAGAGAUUUUCCUGUAGUAGGCCUGUACAUGGGUGCGAAGGCAAGAAGUACCGUUAUAUUUGUCAAAUGAGGGCGCUUUGAACUUGUAGGGAAUUCUCAACCCUUUCAACCAGCCCCAUAUUCGUGACAUCAAAACCCAAAGAGUUCUGACACUCCAUGGCUCUGAUCUUCUAAGCUAGGGCAUCAACUUUCCGAUCUCGUUCGUCGAUUCUUCCCACGACUUCAUCAUCCUCACUGAGGAGAGUAAACAUGUCUUCCUGCCUGUCAACCAGCGGAGCAGGAUGGCGCACGGGAGCACGGGUUUCUCUGGCAUUAACAGUCUCUGCAGCAAGAGGCUGUCCAUUAAUCUGAAUACCUCUCAAAUCAUCACCCAUGGCGUAAUCAUUGACGGGAGCAACAACAGCAGCAUUGUCGGUCACAGGUGCACCCACCGGUGAGGCACGACUAGGUGGUAGAACGGCUUCCUGUCUCUGGGCUAAGGCACGCAACUCCUCUUGCCCUUGAACGACCCCUUGCAUCAUGGUCAUGAAUUGGGCCAUGUUAGCCCUCAUCUCAGCCAACUCUGCCUGAACCUGGUCCAUGCUCCUCUGUUGAUUCAAUCUGGUUGCAUAGCGGUGCGUACGUUGAUCAGCAAUACUGCCUGACACAGGAACCAGAGUGAGAAGUCUCGAUCUAGAACACCUGUAAUGCAAAAUGAUAUGUGUAUGAUGCUAAUGAUGCGUAUGAUGCACAUGAUAUGUUCAUUUCUCAGACAUUCAAGAGCCCAAUUCAUCUUUCAAGAAAUGGCAACCUGCAACAAUGAACAACGCAGAAGCAGACUACACAGGAUAAUAAGCACAAAGUGAAACAUCAACAGCCAACUUUAUAGAUAUGAGCAACAAGGAUCAUACAACAAAGGUUCAAAGAUCCAAACGAUCAGAGUACAACAAUGAAUCCCAUCCAACAAGCCUGGAGGUGAUUCUCAACAUAAACAACAGAGACACAAGCUAAGACAAAUGGCCUCCAGGAAUGAGCGUCUUCAGAUAAUGGCACUGGUCUAUCAACAAGUCACAUUCUGAACAUUCUGGCAGGGGAGUGAUCUUCUCCUUCAAUUGUCUUCUGAGCUCCACAACUUCUCCUCCAAGUUGGCUCUCUGAUGCAUGUCUCAAAUCUACUUCCUUCUUCAAUUGGAUGUCUUUGUCUCUGAGUUGCUUCUCCAAGUCUCUUAUCUUCUUCUGAUAACUGGCUUCAGCUCUCUGCAACCUCAAGCACUCACAAUGCUCUGCAUUCAACAGGGUCUCCAUCUCCUCAUAGGAUCUCUUCUUACCCUUCAAUCUAGCAACAUCCUCACCCUGCAUGUCCUUGAGUUGAUGAGCCAAGUUCAACUUAUCAGCUUUGGCUUUGUACAACUCCAUCUGGGUAUCCUGUUCCUUCUCCUUCAACCGACGAUUCUCCAUCAGGGCUUGCUUAUACUGCUCAGCAGGUACGCUCUCAGCAAGGAUCAAAGGUGGUUGCUCUUGCAAUGGCUCCAUCCUAUCAUAGGGCAACAACAAAGUCUCAACUCUCUUCUUGACCCAAUCAAGGUAAUCAGGCAUAGCAACGACAAACUUCUUCCCCAGAACAGCUCCAUCCUUGACACCAAUGGUCUUCCAAGCCCUUCCUACUUGCUUCAAUCUAGCAGGGUCACUUCGCUUCUCAAAGUAUACACUUUCAGCUAUCUCAGCAUCAAGUGGUCUUCCAUUCAUCACAAACCCCAACUGGCGAAGAGAAAGAACCAGAUUGUAAUUGAUGCAACCCUUAGUCCCUACAAGUGGCACAUUACGGAACUCUCCACAACUCAUGAUGACAUUACGCACAUCCAUCCGGUAAGAUUGCCACCUGAUAUCAUAAGAGGUAAGAGACAUAAUCCUCUGAGUCCACUUAUGAGUGCUCUGAGCAUCCACGAAAGGUCCACUGACUGGCAGGAGAGACAAGAACCAUCUGAGCAACAAUGGGAGACAACAUCUGAUAGCUCCACCCUUACCAUGCCUACUGUGAAUAGCAUAGUAAGUGUCAGCUAACAAAGUAGGAAUCGGGUUCCCUCCAAUGAAGAUAGUGACUGCAGCAAAGUCUACAAAGUUGGGCAUACUCGGGAACAAGACAAUCCCAUAAAUCAUGAUGGCCAACUGAGCAUGAAAAGCCUCCCAAUUUCCCUUCUCUGCUUCUUCUCUAGCUAUCCUCAACAAGAACUUCAAAGGCAAACCCACAACAUCCCCACUUGACUUCCAAUUAUCACCCACUUCUUUGAUACUCAGAUUAAGAGCUCUGGCAACAACUCUGAAAUCAACCUCCUUUGGAACAUCCAAGAAAGGAACCUGAUACCGGAUCGGGACAUUCAGCAGAAUAGAGUACUCUUCAAGAGUAGGAGCUAGCUGAUAAUCCUGGAAAGUGAAGCAACGGAGCUCUGGGUCAUAGAACUGUAGAAGAGUCUGCAACGGCACUGGAUCUACCACCAUCCUCAAUAGUGUCAACAAAUCCCCAUACUGAUCAGCGAACCCCUUCUGAUUACCGCCGGUCACCAAGUUGCUCAACUCUAUCAAAGAAGUCAAAGGCUCACGGUGAAAACUAUAGGAGCAAGUCUUCCGCUUCAACUCUGGAACGGAUGUCAUCCCUUACAAUGAAUAGACUCCUGAAUGAACCUGAGAAAUGAUAUGCAUGAAGAGAUUAGCUUUUUUUCUUUCUUUUUUCUUUCUUUCCAUUUCUUUUUUUCAUUUUUUUUAUUGCAUUAUUUUUUGAAAAUAAACAUGCUAUGAUGCAAAUGAUGCAGACAAGACUGGCUGGCUGUGUAUCUCGGAGCACAGGAUCAAAGCUUCGACUUGAACUCGGAACCACAAAAUCAGCUGAGACCCAAAAAUCAUCUAAGACCCAAUCUGUAGAACCAAGUCACCAACAGGAUCACAAGUCACCAACAAGUCACCAACAAGUCACCAACAAGUCACCAACUGUACCUGUAAUAAUGAUCAUUCCCUCCCCACUCACGGGUGUCAUCUAGGCCAGGGUAAGGUCAGGAUCACAAGUCACCAACAAGUCACCAACAAGUCACCAACAAGUCACCAACUGUACCUGUAAUAAUGAUCAUUCCCUCCCCACUCACGGGUGUCAUCUAGGCCAGGGUAAGGUCGAGAGAAACGCAGGAUAAAUAACCCUUUCAUAGAAUAUCAUCAUAUACACACCCGAAGUAUGUAACGACGAUACCCCAUCAGAGUCUGAACUGCUCGUGAUAUCAAGUUCCGCUAAGUGGCGCAAUACUACCCGCUUCCCAUGAAUCACUAUAUUCCUAGGUGUCCUAGAUUUCACUCAUAGCCUGGUUAUUGGGCCUUUUACCUCUUGUAACUCCAACCCCAACAGAGAGACAAACACAGCACAACCAGCACAGAUGAAAAGAUGAUGCAUGCAAACAUAAAUGCAAACAAUAAAUAAAUGAAUGCAAUAAAUGAAACAGCAAAAGCAAACAAACCCUACCCUAGAGAGCGCUAGGAGAGACUCGCUUAGGGAAGAUGGACCAGCAAGAGGUCAACUUCAAAUUAUCCCCAGCAAAGUCGCCAGCUGACGCAUUACGCGAAAAACCGGCGGGAAAACAAAACAACAGAGCCGCCACCGUGCGUUAUUUAUCCCAAAAGAGGGAAAGAAAACGCUCGAAGUAAACCUGGAAAAGACAUGGUCUCGCGACCAAAGAGAGAUGGGAUCGGGAGUCGGUUAUGCGAAGAAAACCUGGAAAAGACAUGGUCUCGCGACCAAAGAGAGAUGGGAUCGGGAGUCGGUUAUGCGAAGGGAAGGUAUUAGCACCCCUACGCAUCCGUCGUACUCGACGGGAUCCACGCACAAAAGAAAGGACAAGGUUGCUAAAACUGAUCAAACACCACACAAGGCUGGAAGGAAACACAAAAAGACAAGAGAAACUAACUCGGAAGGAUAUCGCAUCCUGGGCCUACGUAGUCUGUCAGGCACAAACAUCAGAGUCGACGUAGUUCGGGACAGGGGAAGCGUGCUCGCUAGGAUGUCGCAUCCUAUGCAUACGUAUCUUCUCUGACUAGAGAAGAAUCAGAGCACUCGUAGCUCGGCUAACGCACGCCAAACGAAACCACACAGGAAACCGACUGCCAAUCGCUGGACUUACGUCAGACUCCACACAAACAGGCAAACCUGGAAACCGAAUGCCAAUCGCUGGACUUACAUCAGACUCCAAACCAACAAACACACACAGGAAACCAACUGCAGAAACCGACUGCCAAUCGCUGGACUUACGUCAGACUCCACACAAACAGGCAAACCUGGAAACCGAAUGCCAAUCGCUGGACUUACAUCAGACUCCGAACCAACAAACACACACAGGAAACCAACUGCUAAUCGCUGGACUUAUGUCAGACUCCAACAAGCAAACAAGACACAGGAAACCAACUGCCAAUCGCUGGACUUACGUCAGACUCCAAACACACACAAAGGGGGUUGAAAAAGAAAAGGGCGCCCGGAGAGAUCAGCUCAUCUCCUGCCUACGUACCUCAUCUGGUAUGAGGAUCAGGGCGACGUAGUUCCCCUACACAGGGAAAGAAGGACUAACCUAACCAGAUACAAAGGGAGACACAAACUACUAGGGAGACUACGACUCAAGCCUAAAAGUUAUCAUGCAUACCAUCCCUAUGUUAAGGUUUCUAUCUAACUUGCACAGGAAGCAAGCUAUCCUAAACAGCACAAGCAAAGUCAUACAAGCACAACAAGCAAGCACACACACUAGAUGCAAACAAAUGGGUUCAUACAAGGUUAGGCUGUGAAACACAAGCCAACUGGAAUCGGGUGUAGUUAGCUCUUAACCCUAACAUUGAGAGUUAGGGUGAAGCUGAUGAAAUGGGAAGUGAGGGUAAGACCUCACAGCUCUUANNNNNNNNNNNNNNNNNNNNNNNNNNNNNNNNNNNNNNNNNNNNNNNNNNNNNNNNNNNNNNNNNNNNNNNNNNNNNNNNNNNNNNNNNNNNNNNNNNNNUCUAAUCAUUUCGGCUUUGCCUUUUGGCUAGCCAUGCCAUUAAAAUAUAAUACCUUUAGGAACAAGAAAUCUCCUAAACAAUUGCAUUCUCAAUGGUGUGGCCAACACCGACAACAAUAAUGACAUAACCAUGAUGAUGUGGUUUUAUAUUAUUCUUGUUCAUUAAAUCCUUUGGAAUGAAAGAGUAUUUUGCAUAUGGUGGAUUUAACGACUUCUUAAACAACCUAGAGUCAACGGCAUAAGUGACCUUAGGUUGCAACGCUUUUCUAAUUUGACCUUAAGAGUGUUUACCUCUUUUGCCAAAUAUGACAAGCGUCACAAUACCUAACUCUACUACAUCCAUCAAUGUCAAUAUCUUGAAUUUUCUGCAAUACUAUCUUUCAACGCUUCUAAAUCAUUUUGAGCUUUUGAUACUUACCUUCCAAAAAGAAAAAAUAUGUUUGUCGGAAGAUAGUCUUUUAAAAGCAUCUACAGCUUCAUUAUGCAGUUUUUCAAAAGCUAUUUUUAGUUCGGAAAAAGACAUAGAGAGAAAUUAUUGUAAUAGCUGUUUUACCUUUUUUGUCAUUGUUUUUCUUCUUGUGGUGGACACAAUUUUUGUGUGAGCCAUAAGGCACAGAUUUGCGGCUUCAUCACCAUCACUUGAGCUUUGUGUGCUUGAUGAAUCACUAUCACUUUCCAUGCAAUGUACGCUCUUCUUGUUUGCUGUACCCUUUUGGUGAAGCUUUUCUUUUGAUCCUUAUACUUCAGGGCAGUCCGUUUAUAAUGUCCAGAUUUAACACAAUUAAAACAAGAUCCUCUUCCUCUACUCUUCUUGUUCUCUUCUCUUGUUUCGAAUCUGCAGAUUGUCUUCGAAACUUCAUGAGAUUUUUGUCGGAAUGCUUGACUCCAUUCUUUCGAAUGAAUCUAUUAUAUCUCCUUACAAACAGUCCCAUUUCCUCAUCAUCCGAAUCUUUUGUCGCUACUAGAAUCAUUUUCACUUUGCUCUUUUCGUGAGGACUUAGAGCUAGAGGCCACAAGAGCUAUUGGCUUCUUCUCUCCCUCUUUGUCUCUUUUCUUCUCCUUUUCCUUCUUACUUUUGUUUCUCUAUUUUCAAGACUUUCCAAUGCUUGCUGAUGUUCUUCCAGCUUUCCAAACAAGUUGUAAUCAUAAGUCUCGUUAGAUCGUUGGCUUCCUUAAUUGUUGUUACUUUAGGUUCCAUUCCCUGCUAAGACACCUGAGAAUUUUAUUAGUAGCAAUUUCAUUGGAAAUAGGUUUUCCAAGCGCAUUCAAUCAGUUGUUAGAUGAGAUGAAUCUCUUUUGCAUGUCGGAGUAGAUUCUCCUUGUUUCAUGCGAAAGAGCUCAAAUUCUUGAUUGAGUGUGUUAAUCCGGGACUGUGUUACUUCAGUAGUACCCUCAUGGGCAACUUCUAAGCAUCCACAUUUCUUUAGCUGUCGUGCAAUGGGAUACUCGAUAAUACUCAUCAACACCAAGUGCUGAAAUUAGCAUGUUUCGAGCUCCCAAUCACACGACCACUUUUUCUCAUCUUUCUCAUUCCAAUCAUCUUCUGGUUUAGGUACUUGGCGCCACCAGCCCGGUUUUCUAGUAGCGGUUCAGAAUAGACGGAAGUCGAUUCGGGACUGAUAUUUUCUGCCAACUUUAAAAACUCUGAUAAAACUUUAAAUCCGUUAAAUUUUAAAGAGGUGAUCUAUUCACCCCCCCUCUCGAUCACUAGCCACACCGUCUAACAAAAUUCAACUUUCAAGGGCAUGUGACAAGAGGAAAGAUUAUAGGUCAUUUUGCGCCAUUACCAUUGAACAAACAAUUUUCCUCAACUUCUAAAAUGCAUAAAUCCCUCAUGCUAAAUCCAAAUGAUUUAAAAUUUGUGACCUAAUUUAAUAGGGAUGAAAGAGAUAAAAAAUUUAUGAAGGAACUCUUUCCAUUUAAAGUUAAUAGAAAAAGUUAUUCAAGGUGGAAGAAGUGGUUAUUUGGCUUGGUACUUAGAAAAGUUUCAAUUAUGUUUGAUUUCUUAGAAAAGUUAUUCAAGGUGCAAAACUGAAUUCCAUUGACUAUAUAAACAAGUGCGUUGCCUCAAGAAUAACACAGACACCUUGCCCAAGCUUUGCCAAGAGAUCUCUAAACCUCACACCAUAUAAUAUCUUGAGGAUUUCUUAGAAAUCAAUUUUGAAUUUGACCUUCUGUAUUGAAGUUCAAACUCCAAGGAUUCAUUUCCUUUUUCAUCUCAAUUGGUCACUGCAAGCAAGAGGAGGAAGAAUCAAGCAAAUUCAGAUCAAGAUCAAGCUGAAUUGAAGCUACCCAAAGGUGAAAUUUAAGAAACUUGUCUUCUUCGAUUCUCCCUCAUUUCUCAACUAUUUUGAUUGAGUUUUGGUUUGAUGAAGUCCUAUCAAUGUAGGCAACAAGAUUGAGUUACUUUGAGGUCAAAUCGAAGCAACUCAGAUCACAAACCUUAAAUUUCAAAUCCAUGUAUCUUUCAAUAUACUUGGAAUUGGAAGAAAUAGAGGUCAGAUUCGUGCUCCUGAGCGGUUUGCCUUUAAACAAUGUCCUUGUUUUUCAUUUUGGUGGUGGUUUGUGAUGGACCAGUCCGAUGAGGUCCACCGGAGCUAGGUCUCUGGUGGUGCGUUGGCAUCUUCCAAACCAUCAGAUCCCUUUGAAAUGUUUUAAUCCUGGUCUUUCCUUUUGAUUACCAUGCGUGUGGUGUAGUUGACUGAGGUGUUUAUGGAACGCGCACGCUUGGCCAUCAGAUCUGUCAUCUCAAUUAAUGAGGGAGAUCUGAUGACCCUUGAUUUUUCAUAUUUUCAUAUUUUUCAUUUAAUUACCUUUUUUGUUUAAUUCAUAAUAAAUCUAUUUUUAAUCCAAAAAAUAUGGUACUUUCACCAAAAAAUCUUUAAAUAUUUUUCUCUUCCAUAUUCUAAAUAAAAUUUUUUUUUGGGAUUGAUUUUGGUAUUUUUCAUGAAUUAAAUGUUUUUAUGCAUAUUUUUAAUUAUUUAAAAAUACUUCUGACUUUUUAAAAAUUCUGAAUUUUUUUGUCUAAGGCCCUUUGGACAUGUUUGACAUAGGAUAAAUCCCUUGGCCAUUUAUUUGGUGUUUUGAAGGGAUUUUACGUUUUGUCCAAAUUAAAAUGUAUUUUAAUUCAUUUUUAAUGUGUUUUUUAAUUGAUUAAAUGUUUAAAAAUUAUUUUGAGCCAUUUUUAUGGUCUUGUGGUGUUUGACUUUAUGUUUGGGCUUUGAUAAUGGUUUAUUUGACUUUUGUUGGAUCAAAACCAUUGGAUUUAGAGGAUUUACAAAAUGUACAUUUCAUCUCCCAAAAUGAAUGGAUGGUUUUGAUUAGUUGAAAUUCCUCUCAUGAUCAAUUUGUGUUUCUAUCUCCUAAUUCCUCUUUAUCUUCAUCCCUAUUCUUCCCCAUUCCCUCAUUUGACCAAUAAAAUCUCUAAUGUCUAAAGGUUAAUUGACUCAUCAAUGACCUUGUGUCAGAUGAAUGAAUACAAGUAUGACUGAGAUACGUCCCUCCCAUUUUUGUUUAAUGUGUGGUAUGCUUUAGGAGUUUGAUUCUUCGUAUCAAAUAUCUAACAUGCAUUAAUACCUAUAUCUUAUUUCCCGACCUCAACUAGUUGUGACUUCUACAUAAUUCCAAUUACAAUUGCUUAAUAUAUAGCUAAAUUUGAUCAAGAAGGUAUGUCAUUCUAGUAAGUAAGAUUGUAAGUAUCCCAUUCUUCAUGGCAUUGUGUGGAAACUUGACAUUUUUUCCUUUCAUGAGAGCUAGUGGCAUACUUGUUGAGUUAUCCAAGGUAGAGUCCUUCUCAUGGAAGAUGUCUUGGUUUAAGGAUUCAGACUUGUGAGUGAAUGGUUGAGUGUUCUCCAAAGAAUGACUUAAUAAAUUAAAACUCAACACCAACCUUUGACUAACCAUUAACUAAGUCUUAUUCAUUAUGCUUUUACUUUCGAGUUAAUUACUUUAUGCGAUUAGUCAUUUACCAUUCAUUGUCAUUUGAACUUGUUUAUGUUUAAGUCCUUUUUCACUAUGCUCAUUUGAGCCAUAUUUUAUGAUUGUAUAUAUUGUUUGUUCUUUUUGAUUUUGUUUGUGGUCUUAUGACCUUAAAACGCCUAAUAACAACAAAAACCCUAAAAAAACAUUUGGUGGACUGUUGGAACUGGAUCUAAGCUUUGGACUUAGAAUUAGGCAACUUUCCUUGUGCUAAAGGACUUGGCCAAUGCCAAGAUUUUUAGACUGAACUAUCUUUGACCAUUGCCUUCAUUUGAUUGCAAUACUUGAGGAUUUCUUGGAUUCAUCUACUACUCUGUCUUUGUGCUUAAUUGUUAUUUUGAUCUUAUGUCUGAUGUUUUGUUCUGAGUUGAUCAAAGAAUAUUUUAUCUAAUACAUUGGAAGACAAAGAAAAUUGCUAGCUAUUGGAGUGCUUGCUUGGAUGUGGCUAUCUUUAUUUGAUGCCUUGAUCAUCAUGAUGUCUGGAUAUUUCUUGUUGCCUUUUGCUUGAUUAAAGUCCAAAGGAAAAUGAGUUUCUAUAUGACAUUCUUGUCUAUUGGAUUGCAUCCCAUUGGUCAGAUCUUUUCAACUCUAAACUUUUAAAUUCGUGCUUAGGAUAGCCUCUUCAUCUCCUCCCACUUCUUUAAUUUCAAAAUCUCUCUCUCUCUCUUUUCAAAAACCUUAUUUGCUUGUGAUUUCAAACAUAGGCAUGUUUUAAUGAUUAGAAACUUUGGCCUUAUGCCAUUGAAUUUUCAAACUCUUUCUUAAAUCAAACUUGUGAAUGAACUUAACCAUAUUGACUUUAAUUUUGAAAAGACAAAACGAACUAACGACCUAAUUUAAAUGUUUGGCCUUUUUGUGUCCUCUUCUAAAAACUUUUGUUAAAAUCAAUUCACCCAUUUAUUUGAAACAUUCACCACGAACUACGGGGUUUUGAUCCCUCAUUUUUAUGUUGGUACGUAGGCAUAACACCGAAGGUCUUGUCAAAUAGAAAAAUAUAAUAAAUAAAUUCUUUUCUCAUCCCCACACUCUAUUUUAUCAAACAUAUUUUAUACCAAAAACAUAUGCACACAUAAAAAAGGCAUCCCUAGGAGUACUUAGGACACUUUGGGUGCUAACACCUUCCCUCUGUGUAACCAACCCCCUUACCUGUAAUCUCUGACAUUCUAUUAGUUUUAAUUUGAAAACUUCUUAUCUUUGGGUUUUUUUUCAUACUUUUCCCUUUUCCUUUGGAAACAAUAAAAGCGUGGUGGCGACUCUGGUUUUAUUGACGUUAAGCUUAUCCAUAGCUUGUUGGUCAUGAAUUUACCGCUACAAAAAUUAAGUGGUGACUCUGCUAGAGAGUAGUCCUCAGUGAGUUUAGACCAAUUUUUUAUGUGUAUAUAUUUGUAUAUUUGAUGUUUGUAUAUUUGUUUGUGUGAUAUAAUCUGUCUGUUUUGCUUGGUGAUCUCUGAGUGGUGAGAUAAGUUCUAACCCGAACUUGAAUGCAUUUAAGAUAGGAGGAUGGUAUAGUCAUCUUCAACUUGUGUGGAGUAGUCCUUAACAUGUUGGCUUGAGACCCAUCUACUCAGUGGAGAACUCUUUGGAGUUACUAAUGUCACAAAAGCUAUUUGUGGAUAGGAACUACUUUCUUUAAAUCUGGGGUUCAAGAAGCUGAAGACCGUAGAACAUUUAACCUAACAUGGACUAUUUAGGACGUAGUGCGGAGACUGUUCAAGUGUAGACUUGAUAACAGUUGUUACGCGAUACUACACUCAAACGAGUUUCUCUUGAGAAUAUUUUGGGUUGAUGAGUCAGUCAUCCUAACCUAUAAUAUCCUAUAGAUGGGAUUGAGACUCUGGGCACUUUUAUAGAACAUGUUUUACAUGUUUCAUCCUUAGUACACUCCUUUGGGAUGGUUCUUAACUUGACUCCAUACUCGUGACUCGCAACAAACCCUUUGAUUCUUCGUCGAUCUAAUCAAUUCUCAUAAAUAUCAAUGGAACUUGGGUGUUAAUAAGGUGAAAACCAUAAUCCACGAGGAUGGAUGACUGAUCUUGAUGAUGACUUGAUCCAUCCCUUGACCUUUGUUUGUGUUUGCCUUGUGUGUGAUCCCUUGUUUGUGAUUGUUGCAUUCAUGCAUACAUACGCAUCAUAACAUUCAUCACAAAAAUAAAAUUUCAAGGAAACUAAGGUCUUAUUUGCAAAUACUUUCAGACUAUGGGUUAUGGACGAAGAAACACUAAGAAGUACAGUUUCAGAUGUCCUAAUUUGAAAGAGCUAAGGAAGUUGUCAUCCUUUGUACUAGAUCCGUUUGAAGGAGAUGAGCGAUCCAAAAUGCAGUGGAAUUUAAAAUUUUCUCCUUUAGUGAUCCUUACGAAUGGGCAUGAUCAGUGAUAGAAUCAUUACCUCUUGUGGCGAUUUUAACCUUUGAUGCAGAUCUACGGAGCGAUCACGAACGUUGAAUGAUAACAACGCCUCUACUCAGUCCACACGAACGAAUUCCUUCAAUCUCAGUGCUAGCUACUACGAAUGAAGGCUUUGAGUGAGUGAGAGAGAGUAGAGAAAUUCCAUCUUCAUAAAUGCUUCUGCACAAGGGUUCUAUUUAUAGAACCACUUGUGUGGGCUGCAAGCUAAAAAUCCCACUUAAGUGUACGUGGCCCAUAUCUUAUAAUAUGCCAAAAUCACUUAAGCACGUGGUACCUUACCAUAUUUCAUAUUCUACUUAAGUACACCGUACCUUACGAUGUUCUAUAAUUCACUUAAGUGCACCGUACCUUACGGUGUUCCUUAGUUACUCUAUCUCUCAUCAAGUGGUACCUUACCAUAUUUCAUAUUCUACUUAAGUACACCGUACCUUACGAUGUUCUAUAAUUCACUUAAGUGCACCGUACCUUACGGUGUUCCUUAGUUACUCUAUCUCUCAUCAAUCCGUCCUUUUGUGUGUGACCCUAUAGGUUUUUGCGGCAUUGACAAUUAUAUUAAAUCACGUAUUUAACAUAAUAAAUAGUGAGUGGUAUCUAGCAACACAUCACUGCUACCCAAAACACGAAAAUGUCAUGUGAUCUGACAAAUCCUUUUGUGUAUAAUUACCCUUUUGCCCUUAUGUCUAUAUUGAACACAAGGCAUAAACCGUGUCAUCCUUGUCUAGUUCAAUAUUGGGCCCAUAGACAUUUACCCUGUUACGCAGGAUGGCCAAAUUCCAUCUAGGUCACUCAUGUCCCUUAGCAUGCUUCGUGGAGUACCCAUCGACUGUCUUUAUGGUCAUCCAGUUACGGACAAUGUUUGAUCAGCAAUAAGGCACUCGACUCUACAUCUAGGGUCCAUAGUGGUUUCAGGUCGAAGGUGGUAUACACCAUUAUCACCAUGAGAAUAACUUAUGACACUUUGCAUAACAUUCUAUAUAUAUUCUCAUAGUGGUCAAUCCAGUAUAAAUAUUACUCUUAAUAUUCAUAUCUAUGUUUAAGACUUGAUAACUCCUUAUCCAUAUCCAUGAGAUGUAUCAUCAGUCUACUAUACAUAAUAGUCUUAAUGCUUUAAUGUUAUCCCACUUCACAAUAAAGCUCGACUACAGAUACUUUAAGAAUAGUGUCCUUAUGUUUAAUGUGAUCUCAUGAUUAAGUCACACUUGAUACAUUAAACAAACUAGCUACUCUAGGGAUUUUAUUAAACAAACAUAAUAAAGAAAAAUCCUUUUAUUAUUAAUAAAUAAUUCGAUACAAGUACCAAAAGUAUUGGCCUCUAGGGCUUACAACAACAAUCUCCCACUAGCACUAGAGCCAAUCAGGCAUACCCCUAAUGCUCAUAGAUCUAGUAUGGCCAUCAUGCUUUUGCUGCGCAAGAGGAUUUGUCAGUGGGUCAGCAAUAUUAUCAAGUGUAGGUACUAUGCAUAUUUGCACAUCUCCUCUAUCUAUUAUCUCUCGGAUGAGGUGAUAACGCCUAAGUAUGUGAUUGGAUCGUUGGUCAGAUCUAGGCUCCUUAGCUUGUGCUCUAGCACCAUUGUUAUCACAAUAGAGACCAAUGGGAUCCAUAAUGCUAGGAACUAUGCCAAGUUCACUAAUGAACUUUUUGAUCCAAACAACUUCCUUUGCUACACUUGAGGCAGCAAUAUACUAGGCCUCGGUUGUAGAAUCAGCAAUGUAUGUUGCUUUGAACUUUUCCAGCUCACAGCGCCACCGUUUAAGCAAAAUGCAUAACCAGAUUGCGAUCUAAAGUCAUCCUUAUCUGUCUGGAAGCUAGCAUCGGUGUAUCCAAUUAUAGAAAGCUCUUCCUGAUCUUCAUAUAUCAAGAAUGAGUCCUUAUUCCUUCUCAAAUACUUGAGGAUAUUCUUGACAGCUACCCAAUGAGCAUCACCAGGAUCAUAUUGGUACCUACUCGUUGCACUUAAAGCAUACGAGAAAUCUGGUCGAGUACAUAACAUGGAACACAUGAUAAAUCCUAUUGUAGAUGCAUAUGGAAUCUUAUUCAUGCGAUCCCUUUCUUCCUUAGCUGAAGGGGAUUGCGUUUUUGAUAAACACAUGCCAUGUUGCAUAGGUAUGAAUCCUUUCUUGGAAUCAUGCAUAUUAAAGCGUCUCAGCACUUUGUCUAUGUAUGUACUCUGACUUAGGCCAAGCAGUUCUUGUGAUCUAUCUCUAUAGAUUCUGAUUCUUAAUAUAUAGGCUGCUUCACCUAGGUCCUUCAUAGAAAAGCAUUUCCCCAACUAAGACUUUACUUGUUGCAGGGUAGGGACAUCAUUUCCAAUGAGUAAUAUGUCAUCUACAUAUAAUACCAAGAAAACAAUCAUGCUCCCACUAACCUUCUUGUAGACACAAGGCUCAUCUUCGUUCUUGAUGAAUCCUUAUUGUUUUACUAUUUCAUCAAAACAAAGAUUCCAGCUUCUGGAAGCUUGCUUCAAUCCAUAGAUUGAUCUUUGUAACUUACAUAUCUUUUGGGCUUCUUCUGGCAUGUCAAAUCCUUCAGGCUGUGUCAUGUACACAUCCUCAAGAAGAUUCCCAUUAAGGAAAGUAGUUUUGACAUCCAUCUGCCAUAUUUCAUAAUCAUGAUAUGCAACGAUAACAAGUAAAAUCCGAACAGAUUUAAGCAUUGCAACUGGUGAAAAGGUUUCAUCAUAGUCAACCCCAUGAAUUUGUUUAACAUCUGCCAUAUUUCAUAAUCAUGAUAUGCAACGAUAACAAGUAAAAUCCGAACAGAUUUAAGCAUUGCAACUGGUGAAAAGGUUUCAUCAUAGUCAACCCCAUGAAUUUGUUUAUAUCCUUUUGCAUCCAAUCUUGCCUUAUAGGUAUGUGCCUUGCCAUCCAUGUCAGUUUUCUUUUUGAAGACCCACUUGCAUCCUAUAGGGUUAACUUCUACAAGAGGCUCUACCAAGGUCCAAACAUGGUUUGUGUACAUGGAAUCCAUUUCAGAUUUCAUGGCUUCUAGCCACUACUCGGGACCAGUUAUGGCCUCUUGGUAGGUCACAGGCUCAUCUUGAUCCAUGAGUAAUACAUCACCUUAAUCAGUUAUGAGAUAUCCAUAUCUCUCAAGUAGGUGACGUAUCCUACUUUACCUACGCUGGUCUUGUUCUACUUUAGCAGGUUGCUCUUGUCGCAUUACGCGAAAAACCGGCGGGAAAACAAGAACAACAGAGCCGCCACCGUGCGUUAUUUAUCCCAAAAGAGGGAAAGGAAACGCUCAGAGUAAACCUGGAAAAGACAUGGUCUCGCGACCAAAGAGAAUGGGAUCGGGAGUCGNGGAGCAUGUGUCACAAAAAGUCAACAUAAGACCAAACAGGGGAGAAAAAUCUCAAACAAAUAGGAAAUGCCACAAACAAUCCCAAGAAAAAUCACAUGUAAACUAGACAUACUCAAGUACAUUCAUGCAAAAACUCAAUCCAAUUUGAGGUCAAGAGGCAUGGUAAAGAAAAUCAUGAAGUUGCACAUCAAUGGUGUGACACAAAUUGUCACACCCUACUUCAGAAAAUCAUAACUCAAUGACCAGAGAUGAAAAAUUCAUAAACUCUAUACCAAAAUCACCAUGAGUGUGUCUAGUUUAAUCACAAAAAAUUUCAAAGCCAAUGGACGAAUCAUCAUCAUUUCACAAUUGAUUUGGCAAAAGGUACAAAAAAUGGUCACAUGUCACAAACCCUAGCAUCAUAUAAAAUCUACUCAUGCAAAAAUUCUGGAAAAUACAUGAUAAAAAACUAGAGAUCAAGAUGGAUAAGAUGCAAAAAAUCCCAUUAAUUUUGGAUUAAACAUAGAUGAGAUAUGAUUUUUGCAAGUUAGUACAUCCAAAUGAAAUAAAUAUUGAGAAAAUAAUUGAAACAAACAUGAUUAUUUAAAUAAUUGGACACGGAGUGGCAAUCUGGUAAAUAUUGUGAAAACUUAGAAAUAAAUAUUGAGAAAAUAAUUGAAACAAACAUGAUUAUUUAAAUAAUUGGACACGGAGUGGCAAUCUGGUAAAUAUUGUGAAAACUUAAUGAAACGGUGCGCAUGGCUUUGGGACGUGGCAACAAGCGACUGGCUCAUGGCAAUGGAAUAGUGUCUGGCCAUGCAAAACAAAAGCUACACGAAUAGGACAAGAAAUCUGGGUUUAACAUGAAGUUUAGGGUUCAGCUACAGUGACCAUCAUCAUCCUCAUCAAAUCGUGCAAAAUAUUUUGGCCCAGAAAAUGAAAUUAAGCAUACCAUUAUGACCAGCAAACCAAGCACAACAAGAAUACAUCAUUCAUUUUCACUCAAACAUGUUAACAAGGAAGCAACGAGCAAAAAUAUAUUUGGAUAUGAAACUUCAAAACCAGAUUUCUCAGCCAUCACUCCAUCAAUUUGCACGAUUCAAAGCUUAAUGAAACCAGCAUUACAGGAUCAAUCUAAAGCAUGCAAUAAUUUAGUGAAAUAAGGAGGUCGAAUUCUUACCAAGUUGGAAGAGCAGUUGUGAUGCAGUGAUGAUUUAGCCUCAAAUGCUCGAAACAGAUGAAGCUCCAAGCUCCAGAUGAUGAAUGAACAAGGUGGAAGUUGUUUUUGGUCAGGGAUUGGGAUCGUUCAGAAGUCAUCAGUCAAUGCACAUUGUUUACCAGAACACGCCUAAAAAAGUCCAGCCAUGGUCAACUGGGCCUGAUUUUAUGGUUUUGAUGGUGGGAAUUGGUGUUAAGGAGGUCUCGAUUCAUGUCCAUCAUAGACCUCAUAUAACAUGUUCAAACAUCAUCAUGGAAGAAUUUGAAGGCCAGACAAGUAAAUUUGCCAAUAAAUCAGAUAAGUUGACCUGUAAUUGGGAUAUUUGCCAAAAAUGGAAAGUCUUGGAAUCGCUCGAAACUUACAUGCAUGGAUACAAGCUUCAAAUGAUUUUUGCCCAACAUGAAAGUUGAAAGAUCUUCGUUCUUCCCAUUGUCAGCAACAAAGUCCAAGAACACUCAUUCCCAUGUAUGGUUGGCAGAGGUUUAUGAUCAAAUCAUUUUGCAAGAAAUUUUGGGUGAACUCAAAAGGCCCAUACUGUCAAAUNNNNNNNNNNNNNNNNNNNNNNNNNNNNNNNNNNNNNNNNNNNNNNNNNNNNNNNNNNNNNNNNNNNNNNNNNNNNNNNNNNNNNNNNNNNNNNNNNNNNNNNNNNNNNNNNNNNNNNNNNNNNNNNNNNNNNNNNNNNNNNNNNNNNNNNNNNNNNNNNNNNNNNNNNNNNNNNNNNNNNNNNNNNNNNNNNNNNNNNNNNNNNNNNNNNNNNNNNNNNNNNNNNNNNNNNNNNNNNNNNNNNNNNNNNNNNNNNNNNNNNNNNNNNNNNNNNNNNNNNNNNNNNNNNNNNNNNNNNNNNNNNNNNNNNNNNNNNNNNNNNNNNNNNNNNNNNNNNNNNNNNNNNNNNNNNNNNNNNNNNNNNNNNNNNNNNNNNNNNNNNNNNNNNNNNNNNNNNNNNNNNNNNNNNNNNNNNNNNNNNNNNNNNNNNNNNNNNNNNNNNNNNNNNNNNNNNNNNNNNNNNNNNNNNNNNNNNNNNNNNNNNNNNNNNNNNNNNNNNNNNNNNNNNNNNNNNNNNNNNNNNNNNNNNNNNNNNNNNNNNNNNNNNNNNNNNNNNNNNNNNNNNNNNNNNNNNNNNNNNNNNNNNNNNNNNNNNNNNNNNNNNNNNNNNNNNNNNNNNNNNNNNNNNNNNNNNNNNNNNNNNNNNNNNNNNNNNNNNNNNNNNNNNNNNNNNNNNNNNNNNNNNNNNNNNNNNNNNNNNNNNNNNNNNNNNNNNNNNNNNNNNNNNNNNNNNNNNNNNNNNNNNNNNNNNNNNNNNNNNNNNNNNNNNNNNNNNNNNNNNNNNNNNNNNNNNNNNNNNNNNNNNNNNNNNNNNNNNNNNNNNNNNAUCAAAAGGCAUUUUUGGAAUGUGCAUGCGAAUAAUUUCAAGUGUGGUAUCAAAAAAUGUGAAUCUUUUGAAUUUAGAACACUUGCCAACAUAUGCCUACCAGUUAAAAAGGCGGCUGAAAUGAUAUUUUAAACAUGUUGAGCCCAAUUCGCCAGCCUCGCACUGCAUGCACCUUCACCACUUAAGCUGAACUUGACAAAUUAGCAAAAACAUGUCAUUUUUCCAUAAUUUCGAGAUUACCACCUGCGUUAAUCAUGCGUUAAACACAUUAAAUCAGCAGUAAUAGAGAUCGUUUCACUUCUGAAUCAAACCCUAUGCAGCCACAUGUUCUAAGCAGAAAAAUUGCCAUUUCUGCUCAAUUCACCAUUUCCUUUUCAUUGUGAAUUUUUCGGCCAAAAACUGCAAAACCUGAGCUGGCUUUGUUUGCUUUAUUCUAUACCAGUCAUCUUUGAGCCAUUUCAAGCUUGUUUCCCAGUGUACAUAUCUAAGCCAUUUCUACAUUCAAGCACUCAUCAGGGCAGAGUUUGAUUGAGCAAAACCAUAGCAUUCCUGGAGCCACAUUACCUUGACAACACUUCCAAAGGACCCCUAGGUCAUGUGAACAUGUUGGACCAACCCUAGGGCCUUGGCUCAAUGGAGAUUGUACUUGCUUGAUUGAUUGACUGAUCUCCUGAUCAGUUUGACCUAAUUCUUCUGAAUGGCUUGCACUUGAGGCAAAGGGACAAUGCAAUGCUAUGCAGUGGACCAUGUUAAUGUUAUGACCUAAUAUGAGAAUGUAUGUACAAUGAUAGGUGCAAAUUUGAGGUGCUACAGUUCUUCCACAACUACUUGUGUUUCCUGCUCUAAUACCUCCAUAGGUGUAUCAAUGCUUUGUGAUUCUUGAAUUUCUUCAAGCUCUACUUUUCUCCCACUGAUUCCUAUGGAAAUAAAAUCCUUUUCUAGGAGAACUCCAGUUCGAGCGACAAACACUUUUCCCUCAGAAGGAUUGUAGAAGUAAUACCCUCUUGUUUCUUUAGGAUACCCCACAAAUAAGAAUUUGUCAGAUUUGCGCUCAAGCUUAGUUGAAAUUUGCCAUUUCACUAAAACUUCGCAACCCCAAAUCUUCAUGUAAGACAUGUGUUGUUUCUUACCACUCCAUAUCUCAUAUGGUGUAUUUUUAACCUUUUUGUAUGGAACACGGUUAAGUGUGUAAGCUACUGUCAAUAGUGCAUGUCCCCAAAAGGAGUUUGGAAGAUUGGCGUGACUCAUCAUGGAUCGGACCAUGUCUAACAGGGUUCGAUUUCUUCUCUCAGAUACACCAUUCCAUUGGGGUGUUUUAGGAGGAGUAAGGUGGGAUAGGAUCCCACACUCUUUCAGAUGGUCAUCAAACGCUAGGCUUAAAUACUCACCACCUCGAUCUAAUAGAAGAGUUUUAAUAUUCUUACCUAGUUGGUUUUGUACUUCAUUCUUGAAUUCCUUGAACUUUUCAAACGACUCUGAUUUGUACACAUAACCAUAUCUACUGAAAUCAUCAGUAAAUGUGAUGAAGUACUAAAAACCUUCUCUGGUUGGUAUGUUCAGUGGUCCACAUACAUCAGUAUGUAUGAGGGCCAAAAGAUCAUAAGCUCUUUCACCUUUUCUUGUGAACUGAGACUUUGUCAUCUUUCCAAUUAAACAAGAUCUGCAUGUCUCAUAUGAUUCAUAAUCAAAAGAGUCCAAGAGUCCAUCUUUACGGAGUUCGAAAAUGCGUUUCUCAUUUAUGUGGCCCAAUCGAUAAUACCAAAGGUAAGUUGGAUUUAACUCAUUAGGUUUCAUUCUUUUAGUAUUAAUGUUAUGAAUAGGCAUUUCAAGAUCAAGGACAUAUAAUCCAUUGUUCAUUUGUGCAGUAACAUAGAAUAUAUCAUUCAAAUAAAUUGAGCAACAAUCGUUCUUUAUUAUAAAUGAAAAAUCAAACUUAUCCAAACAAGAAAUGAAAAUAAUAUUCCUGCUAAUUGCAGGUACAUAAUAACAAUUCUCUAACUGAGUUAUUAAACCACUAGGUAAAGUCAAUACAUAAGUUCCUACGGCUAAAGCAGCAACCUUUGCUCCAUUGCCAACUCGUAGGUCAACUUCACCUUUUUCCAAAUCUCUACUCCUUUUUAGCCCCUGCACAUUGGUACAAAUGUGAGAACAAUAAGUUCCUACGGCUAAAGCAGCAACCUUUGCUCCAUUGCCAACUCGUAGGUCAACUUCACCUUUUUCCAAAUCUCUACUCCUUUUUAGCCCCUGCACAUUGGUACAAAUGUGAGAACCGCAUCCAAUAUCUAAUAUCCAUAAUGCAGAAGUAGAUAAAUUAAUUUCAAUAUAAAAAAUACUUGAAGUUGAAGUCUCUACUCCAUUCUUCUUAUCUUCCAGGUACUUUGGGCAGUUUCUCUUCGAGUGUCCGGUCUUACCGCAAUGGAAGCAGGUGCCUUCCUUUACUAUGCCUCCACUAGGCUUUAAAGCAGCAACAAUGGGUUUGGGUUUGGCAACUGCCUUGCCUUUCCCUUUAUCACCCUGCUUGGUGGGUCUUUUGUUCUGUCUCUUUCCAUUUCCGAUCAUCAGAAUGGACUUCCCUUUUGACUCCAGAUUCUACUCAGCAGUUCUUAACAUGGCUAGCUGUUCAGGAAGAGAUUUGUACAUAUCAUUCAUAUUGAAAUUUUGGACAAAUUGACUGAAUCUAUCUGGCAACGAUUGCAUGAUCAAAUCAGUCACAAGUUCCUUUUCGAGGGGAAAACCCAACCUCUCAAGGUUUUCCACAUAUCCAAUCAUCUUGAGCACAUGGGGACCUACAGGGGCUCCCUCAACUUACUUGCCUUGAAAACGGGCUUUUGAAACUUCAAACCUUUCAUGCCUUGCUUGCUCUUGAUAGAGCAUCUUCAGGUGUUCGAUCAUAUCGAACGCUUCCAUGUUCUCAUGUUGCUUUUGCAACUCUGAGUUCAUGGUAGCUAGCAUGAGACAAGAAGUUUCAUUGGCAUCAUCGACAUGCUUCUUAUAAGCAUCUCUUUCUGCCUUAGGUGCAGAACUAGGAGGUUCCUCUUCAGGAACAGGUGUCUCCAAGACAUACAACUUUUUAUCAUGUUUGAGGAUAAUCCUCAGGUUUCGGUGCCAAUCCAGAAAAUUUGUCCCAGACAAUUUUUCCUUGUCAAGGAUUGAUCGCAAGAUGUUGUUAGAGGUGUUUGCUGUCAUGGUUAUCUACAUAAGGAUUAAGAAAAUAUAAGUAUCAUUGACAUAUUUAAUUAGGCCUUUAUUCAAAUAUGCUCCCACUAUUUUACUCAAAACAAAUGACCCUCAUCAUUUGAUUCGGAAAAUCCCGUUGGAAGAUUUUCUAGUGGGUUGAGAUCCAUAUUUCACUUCGUUCUAAGUCCGCGUAGGCGGAUUACACAAAACUAGGUUAUUUAGGUAGGAACUCCUUCCAGUUGUAUCUCAUACAACUCUCGAAAAUUUCAGUUGGGUGAAUAACUCCUUAUUCCAAUCCAUCAUAUGGAUCAUUCCCAACUCUUGCUUCUAAAACAUAUAUAAGAAAAUUAUAAUUAAGUUUGACCCAUUGUUUUAGCAGUUGGAUAUUACAAUUAUCCCAUCGCACCUUACUAAUAUAGAACAUGCACCUCGCGUAGGCGAAACCUACAUUAUUCGAUACUAGUCUUGAUGAGUGCUAAAACUUGGAAAGCAUAAACUUAAUAUUUAAUUUGAGGGAAUUUGCAAUUAUUCUGAUCUCACCGGCUUAUUUAUCAUAUAAAUCGUCUCUCACAUGCAUCAACAUACAUUCACAUGCAUCAACAUACAUAAUGAAAUAGUUAUGGCCCCUAGCGCAAUUGUUCUCCCAAGCCAAUGAGAGAACCUAAGCUAACCUAAUAACGAUCUAAGCUUCUCUAAGCAAGAUAUUCAAGGUUGUCCUCCUUUUAUAUUGAAUUCUUCUCUUUCUUCAUAACAUUACAUUACAUAAAAGAAACUCAUUUUACAUACGAGGGAGUGAGAUAAGAAAAGAAGUUACAUUGAGAGAUUAAAAGAGAGGCACGACAUGCAGGUCGUAAAUUAAAAUCCCAAAACGAAAUAAAGGAAAACUAAGGCCACAACCGAUCACCACAAGACAAUAAUAAUAAACACAUUAUUAUUAUUAAUUUAAAUUUUUUUAAUUAAUUAAGACUAAAUUAAAUUUCGGCGAAUGAUCAUACUAUGCAGAGUUAGCAAAAUAUUCUUUUAAUUAAAGUAUUGAUUUCAAAAAUGAUCAUAAUAAAAUUUAAAACUAUUUGGCUGAAUUAAAUAAGAGUAGAAACAAUUGGAUAAAAGCUCAAUUUUAUUUAAUAGAAUGGUAGUCUGUAAAUGACAAGACUCCAUAGAUCUUUUACAAAAGUUGAAAAUGAUAAUUUACAUGGAAAAGGGCUACAUUGAAUACAAUGAUCACUAAUCCUUCUACCAACUCUUGAUGUCCACUGUGCUCUUGGCCGCUACCGGGGACUAGAAUCCAACAUUGUGCUCAAGAAAGUCUUCAAAACCGAAGAUCAGCAAAAUGCAGUUACUUGUCAUAAUCCCUAAUAUUUACAUAAAUUGCCCCAAGGUGGGGUAUUCAAUUUAUCGGGAUAAUUCAUUCUGUUUUAUGUCUCUAACUUUUUCCUGGAUCACCCUUUUGAGUUUUCAAUCCACCAAGAUGCUCAUUUUUGCCUAAGCCGCCCUUUCGGUUUUUCAACAUAGCGAGUUGUUCUUUUCUUUUUUUUAGGCGAAGUAUUUCUUGACUGCAUCUGCGUUCACAAGACGAGUGAACUCUUCACCAUCCAUAUGAAAAGGCUCUCUUAACAACAUAUGUGCCUUCAUAAUUAGGAGUCCAUUUUCCCCUAGAAUAUGGUUUGAAUGAUAGGAUCUUCAUGAGCACAAGGUCACCCUCUCUAAACACACGAGGCCUGACCUUCUUAUCAAAAGCUUUCUUCAUUUUCUACUGGUAUAACUGACCAUGAUACAUGGCAGUCAACCUCUUCUCUUCAAUAAAAUUGAGCUGGUCAUACCUGGUCUGACACCAUUCAGCCUCGGUCAACUUUGCUUCCAUCAGCACACGCAAUAAUGGGAUCUCAACCUCUACGAGGAGCACAACAUCCAUACCAUAUACAAGAGAGAAAGGGGUUUCCCCUGUUGAAGUGCGGAUGGAUGUACGAUACCCGUGUAAAGCAAAUGGGAGCAUGUUAUGCCAAUCCUUAUAUGUCACAACCAUCUUCUGAAUGAUCUUCUUAAUGUUCUUGUUUGCAGCUUCAAUCGCCCCAUUCAUCUUAGGUCUGUAGGGAGCAGAAUUAUGGUGUGCAAUCUUGAAGUCUUUGCAAAGAGCUUCCACCAUAUUAUUAUUCAAGUUCGAUCCAUUAUCAGUUAUAAUCUUACUUGGCACACCAUAACGACAUAUGAUUUGAUUCUUGAUAAACCUCACAACAACUUGCUUGGUUACAUUUGCAUACGAUGCCGCUUCAACAAAUUUUGUGAAGUAGUCGAUAGCCACCAAAAUGAAACGAUGUUCAUUCAAAUCUUUAGCCUCAAUCAUGCCAAUCAUAUAAAUUCCCCACAUGGAGAAGGGACACUGGGAGGAAAUGACAUUCAACAGUGUUGGAGGAACAUGAAUCUUAUCUGCAUAUAUUUGACACUUGUGGCAUUUCUUCACAAACUUGCAACAAUCAGAUUCCAUUGUCAGCCAAUAGUAACCUGCUCGCAACAUCUUCUUCUCCAUUGCAUGUCCAUUGGAAUGAGUACCAAAGGAACCUUCAUGGACUUCAGCCAUCAAUAGGUCUGCUUCGUGUCUAUCCACGCAUCUGAGGAGAACCAUAUCGAAGUUUCUCUUGUAAAGCACAUCACCAUUCAGGUAGAAAUUGUCGGCUAAUCUUCUCAAAGUCUUCUUGUCUUUCAAAGAUGCCCCAGAUGGGUAAAUCUGACUUUGGAGGAAACACUUGAUAUCAAAAUACCAUGGCUUUUCAUCUUUGACUUCUUCAACAGCAAACAGAUGAGCUGGCCUAUCAAGACGCAUCACAAUCAAAUUGGGAACUUCAUUCCAAUAUUUCACUAUGAUUAUUGAAGCCAGCAUUGCAAGAGCAUCUGCCAUCCGGUUUUCAUCUCGAGGGAUAUGAUGAAACUCAACCUUUGUAAAGAAAGUUGAAAUCCUCCUCGCAUAGUCUAUGUAUGGUAUCAAACCGGGUUGAUUUGUCUCCCAUUCGACUUUGAUUUGAUUCACGAUCAAAGCUGAAUCUCCAUAGACGUCUAGAUAUUUGAUUCUGAGAUCAAUGGCCUCUUCAAGCCCCAUAAUGCAAGCUUCAUACUCUGACAUAUUGUUUGUACACUUGAAAGUCAAACUAGCUGUAAACGAAAAAUGCGUGCCUUGAAGAGUAAUAAUCACUGCCCCAAUGCGAUUACCAUACUGAUUAACAGCUCCAUCAAAUACCAUGCCCCAAUUGGAACCAGGUUCUGGCCCUUCUUCCAGCAAUGGUUCGUCACAAUCUUUCAUUUUCAAGUACAAGAUCUCUUCAUCAGGAAAAUAAUACUAUACUGACUGGUAAUCUUCAAUCGGUUCGUGAGCCAGGUGGUCAGCCACGACACUACCUUUAAUUGCUUUCUGAGAUCGGUAUUCAAUAUCAUACUCUGAUAACAACAUCUGCCAACGAGCAAUCUUCCCAUUUAAAGAAGGCUUCUCAAAAAAAUACUUGAUUGGAUCCAUUUUGGAUAUCAACCAAGUGGUAUGAUUCAACAUAUAUUGACGUAAACGCUUAGCAGCCCAAGCUAAUGCACAACAAGCCUUCUCAAGCAUAGAAUGUUAAGUCUCAUGAUCGGUGAACUUCUUACCGAGGUAGUAAAUGUCAUAUUCUUUCUUUCUAGUCUCAUCUUGCUGCCCUAGAACAUAACUCAUACUCUCAUCAUGCACAAUCAAAUACAUUAUCAAUGGUCUUCCUUCCACAAGAGGAGACAAAAUCGGAGGCUCAAGCAGAUAUUCCUUGAUAUUAUCAAAAGCUUUCUGGAAGUCUUCGGUCCAAUCACAAGACUGAUCUUUCCGAAGAAUCUUGAAUAUAGGCGCACAUAUGGCAGUCAUGUGUGAAAUGAAUCUUCAAAUAUAAUUCAAGCGGCUGAGAAAACCUAUGACUUGUUUCUCAGUUUUGGGCGUAGACAUCUCUUGUAUUGCUUUGACCUUGGUAGGAUCAACCUCAAUACCUUUCUCACUGACAAUAAAUCCCAACAACUUACUAGAACGGACAUCAAAUGUACACUUAUUGGAAUCCAAUCGGAGUUUAUACUUCCUCAACCGUUGUAAUAGCUUCAACAAAUGUUCGACAUGUUCCUCUUCAUCAAUAGAUUUAGCAAUCAUGUCAUCAACAUAGACUUCGAUCUCUUUAUGCAUCAUAUCUUGAAAAAGAGUAGUCAUUUCUCUUUGGUAAGUUGCACCAGUAUUCUUUAAACCAAAAAGCAUCACUCUAUAACAGAAUGUUCCCCAAGGUGUAAUGAAUGUGGUCUUCUCGAUAUCUUCAGGUGCCAUCUUGAUCUGAUUAUAUCUAGAAAAUUCAUCCAUAAAUGAAAAUACUUUGAAUUUAGUUGUAUUUUCUACCAACAUAUCAAUGUGUGGUAGAGGGAAACCAACUUUCGGACUGGCUUUAUUCAAAUCUCUAUAGUCAACGCACAUACAGACUUUUCCAUCUUUCUUUGGAACAGGCACAAUAUUGGCCACCCACUGCGGAUAUUCAGCAAUCACAAGGAAACCGACAUCAAUCUGUUUCUGCACUUCUUCUUUGAUCUUCACUACUAUAUCAGGAUGAGUCCUCCUUAGCUUCUGCUUGACUGGCGGGCAUUCUGGCUUCAACGACAAUCUAUGCUCCACGAUCUCAUAAUCCAACCCUGGCAUGUCUUGAUAGGACCAAGCAAACACAUCUGAAUACUUUUGGAGAAGAUCAAUCAAACCCUUCUUAACCUCUGGAUACAGUCAAGACCCAACUUUGACAUCCUUCACAUCAUCCUCGGAACCCAAGUUGACUAACUCAAUCUGCUCUUCGAAUGGCUGAAUGGCUUUUCCUUCAUUCUCAAGAAGAUGACACAAUUCAUCACUUACUUCUUCAUCACUUUCCUCCUUAGCCUCAAACACAUGGAAUUCAAAAUUUGGAGAAGGAGAAGUAUCAUUGUAUUCAAUGGGGUUAGGAACAAACCUGCAUAAUGAUUUGAUAUUUUGCUUUUAGAGAAGUGAAUUUGUGACCAAAUAUUAUGUAGAUGGGCAAUUAUUUUAUUUAUUUAUGUUUUUUUUGUGAUUACCAUUUUCAAAAUAAAGCAAAAAGUAAAAAUAAAACAUCGUAGACGUGGAUGAAUAAAAUUAUAUUUUAUUGAUGAUCAAAUUUGAAAUGCCUAAACAAUGUUCACUUCUCCCUUAGGCAUAGGAGAAGGAUUUUCAAAAAAAAAAAGAAAUUACUUAGAUCGAUGCACAAUAACAGGAAUAUCAACAGCAGUCCAAUUGUCGCAAUCUUUUCCAUGCGUCACAAAAUUGGUGUAGUCUUCAUCCUCAUCACCCUCGAUCAUAGCAGCUAAGUGUUGUUCAUUACCAUGAAUGAACCCUCCAUUAUGGAAAUUGUGUUGCGCAUCUUUAGUUUCAACCAUUGAAGAACCUCGUUAUAAACCCAAACCGGCUCUGCUCUUGUUAUCGGAGACAUCUACCAUCUGUCCUCACUGAUCAGACUGACCAUCUUCAACAAUUUUAUGUGCAUCUUUAAACGAGGACAUAGGUUCCCUAACUCUUUUUCCCUCAGCAAUAAAUAAGGCUUGGAACGGAGUUCUAACCUCAUCCUCAGCUUCUACACAAGAGAAAGAUGACAGGUGGCUGACCAGCAACGCCUUCUCCCCGCCAACAAUAACUAGCUUCCCAUUCUUAACAAACUUCAGCUUCUGAUGCAACGUUGAAGUAACGGCUCCUGCCUCAUGAAUCCACGGCCUUCCCAAUAAGCAGAUAUAGGCCGGGUGGAUAUCCAUUACUUGGAAAGUAAUUUGGAAGUCACUCGGACCUAUCUUCACUUGAAGGUCCACUUCGCCAAUCACAGUCUUGCGAGAACCGUCAAAAGCUUUGACGAUCACACCAUUAUAUCUCAUAGGAGCUCCUUGGUAUGACAACUUCGACAAAGUUGACUUCGGAAGCACAUUUAAUGAAGACAUAGUGUCUACCAGCAUAUUUGACAGAGCGUCAUCUUUACAAUUCAUCGAAAUAUGUAGAGCCAAGUUAUGAUUUCUACCCUCAUCGGGGAGUUCUUCAUCACAAAAGUUGAGGUUGUUGCUGGAAGUGAUGUUAGCUACAAUAUGAUCGAACUGAUCCACCGUAACAUCAUGUUCCAUAUACGCUUGCUCUAGAACUUUCUACAGUGCUUCUCUAUGCGCUUCUGAGUUCAUAAUCAGAGACAACACUGAAAUCUUUGAGGGAGUUUGGAGCAGCUGCUCCAACACAUUGAACUUUCUCCUCUUGAUCAAUCUGAGCACCUCAUCAUCGUCGUUAGGCUUUAAACCACUGGAUCCAUCAGACUGUCACUUUGGAGUACUAACAGAAUUUACCACUGGUGCAUCAACUUUCUUGCCAACAUAUAAAUCUUCCACAUUCUUUGGGAACACCGGCCCAAAAACCCGACCGCUGCGGGUCACCUUAAUAACAUCAGUAAUGCUCACCUCAGAACUGGUCGUAGGCAAAGGAACCUCUUGACCAUUCUCUAGCAUGGUAGCAUAGUACUGAUACGGGACAACUUUAUCAAAUGCAUACGAGACGGGGCCCGCUAACCGUAUAACCAACAACGAUACUGAUCUGUUGUUGACACUGCUACUGCUGUCGUAGUGGAUUACUACUCUUUCAUGAGUUUAUAAAACGGGAACAAUAACAUUCACAUCGUCAUCUACAUGACAGGAUUGUAUAAUCUGAAUCAAACCUUCAUCCAUCAACCUUUGGAUGUCUCUCUUCACAACCAUACAACCUCUGGGAUUGACACUGUAGAUAGCACAACCGUCAUGGUCAUGCUCACGAUCGCUAACCAAACAGAUAUCUUUGUGCAUCGUCACCAAGGGCCUUCUAAUAAAGUGUACAUCAAAUACCUUAAACUCCCCAGGACAGACGUCCACCAUAUUAACAGAUGAAUUCCCAUGGGCAUGUAGUGGGUUAGCUUUGUUGUUUGGCGCACGAUCCUCACAAGACACUGUAAUACUCCAAUUUUAACCCUAAGAUCCCUCAUUCUAUCUCAUCAUAUGCAUUAGCAUUGGGAUCACACCUUGGCAUCCUCCUUACCCCUCUUUCAUUGGGUUUGUUUUGGGAGAGAUCACCAAGCACCAUGUGAUUGUAUCAUACUUGUAUAUUAUCAUUUUACUAACCAAUUGGGAUCACACCUUGGCAUCCUCCUUACCCCUCUUUCAUUGGGUUUGUUUUGGGAGAGAUCACCAAGCACCAUGUGAUUGUAUCAUACUUGUAUAUUAUCAUUUUACUAACCAAAAUACCAAAAACAUGUCUUUGUAUUUUCCUAACUCUUUUGUAGGUAGGGCAUGAUCAUCAUUGAUCCACCAAGUUCACAUCUAGGGUUUAAGACCCUCAUGGCUAAAAACACAACCAAAGAUUGAUCCACAAUGUCUCAAAGCAUCAUAUAUGAGUCCCAAUGAUGUUUACAUGUUAUAUUGAUCAAGUAUUCUUCAAGAGUUUGGAGGUGAUUUGCCUUGGAAACUCUAGUUUGACUGGGUAUCUUGAGUAACUUCUCCAAUAAGCUAUCUCACCAUUUGAUUAAUUUUCCCAAGGGACAGUUCAAAUUUCAUCACCUUAUGCAUAUAUGAUCUACCAUGAGCCUAUAAAGUCAAGAGAAUUGAAGGUUAGAAAGUUGGUUGAUGGUGGUUGGCCAGAUGAUUGCCUUUCCAUUCAAAUGCCAAAAACUCCACAUAUCAUUGCCUUGCCAUUCAAGCAUCAUUUGAACUUCAAUACAAAUGUAAUUGAAUCAAAUUGGAUUGCUUCAUGGGCCUGUACACGCCCAUGCAAGCUUGUGCAUCACCUUGCCAAUUUUAGCAAUUUUUCAAGUGUGCAAAUAACACUCUCAAAUGCUAUAAAUACAAUGCCUUGGAGCUCAUUUUAAACACACCUUGCGCGCAAACGUUUCCCCCCAAUUCAAACCCUCACCAUUCAAAGAAAAACCUAAGAAUUUUCAACUUGAAAAUUGAGUUUGAAUUUCACUGUUUGGAGAUUCAAAAACUCCAGGAUCCAAAGCUUUGUACCAUUCCCAAACCACUUCUGCAAGCUUCUUGAGUGUGAUCAGAUCAAGUUUGAAGGAAGCCAGAUCCAUUUCUGCACAACAUUGAAGGUAAUUUUCAGAAAACUUCUUCUCUUCGAUUCUCACACAAUUCUCAUCAAUUCUCUUGGAUCUUUGGUUGUCUAAAGUCCUACCAAUGUAGGCAAGAAGGUUGAGUUGCUUUGAGGUCAAAUCGAAGAAACUCAGUUAACACACCUCAAAAUUCAACUCGUCAUAUCUUCCUAUAUAUUUGGAGUUAGUUGAAAUUGAGGUCAGAUUCGUGCUCUACGCCAUAUUUUUCUUUCAGAUGAUGUCCUCUUUUCUCAUUUAGAUGAUGAUUGAGAGUAGACUAGUCUGGUGAGGGCCACCGGAGAAGAAGACCGGAGCUCUGGCUCCGGCGAUGCAUUGACAUGUCUCCAGACCACAGGAUCCUCUUAAUUUUUUUUAAUCUUAGGCGUUUGUUGUGAUUACCAUGCGUGUGACGCGCUGACUAAGUCCCACCAUGGAACACGCGUUUCUAUCCACUUGAUCUGCCACCUCAAUUAAUGAGGGAGAUCAAGUGGUCCACGUUUUUUUUGAUUUUUUGAUUUUCAUUUUAUUUCAUUUGAUUUUCAUUAAUUCAUAUUAAUUUUAAUAUUGAUGCAAAAAAUAUGAGAGUUUCACCAAAAAAAUUUAAAUAAAUUGCUCUUUCAUAUUUUGAAUUAAAAUUAUUUUUUUGGAUCAUUAUUAAUAUUUUUCAUUAUUUAAUUGAUUUUAUGAAUAUUUUAAAUUGUUUAAAAAUAUUUUAAAGUCUAUAAAAAUUCUAAAAAAUUUCUCCAAGGUCCUUUGACCUUGUUUGACCUAUGAUAAAUGUCAUGGCCAUUUCUUUGGUGUUUUGAUGAGGUUUUAGGAAUUUGACAAACCAUAUUUAAUUUAAUGCAUUAUUUUUAGUAUUUCUUUUAUUUGAAUAAAUGCCAAAUAUUUGUGUUGAGCAAUUUUGAUGGUUUGUAUAAGUUUGACUUGUGUUGCUGGGCCUUUUGUCAAGGUUGAUUUGACUUUGCUAGGUUAAGAUCAUUGGAUUUAGGGGAUUGAUGGAAUGUACAUUCCAUCUCACAAAAUGAAUGAAUGAUCUUAAUUUGGUAAAACUCCUCCUUUGACCAAUUUGAGUUUUGAUCCAUUCCCCUCUCUCUUCAUAUAUUUCCCCUUCUCUAUGCAUUCAUUUCAUUUGGUCUAUGAUAUCUCUAAAUCAUAAGGCUAGUUGAUUGCAAAAUCAACAUAAGUAUGGAUGAGAUUAGGCCACCUCUUUUGCAUAUUAUUUUUGUGUGUGGUACGUUUCAUGAGCAUAAUCCAUUAUACUAUGUCUCUAACAUGCAUUAACACCAAAAUUCUAUUGCCCGACCUCAAAUAGUUGUGACUUCUACAUAAGUCCAAUUACGAUUGCUUAACAUAGCGCUAAAUAAAAAUUCUAUUGCCCGACCUCAAAUAGUUGUGACUUCUACAUAAGUCCAAUUACGAUUGCUUAACAUAGCGCUAAAUUUUUGAUACAAAAGGCAUAGCAUUCUAGUUAGUGAGAUUGUAAGUCUCCCUUCUUUCAUGGUAUUGUAUGGAAACUUGACCUUUUUUCCUUCCUUUGGAAGAUGUCUUGUUUCAAGGAUCUAUGCUUGUGAUAAGUGGGUUGAGUGUUCUCCAAAGAGUGACUUAAAAUGAAAAGCAAAAACAAUACUAACUUCUAACUCAUUAACAACUAACAUUUAAUUUAAAGUCAUUUACUUUAAUGCAAUUUAAUUUCAAGUCUUUAUUCAUUUGCCAUUAUUCAUACCAUUCUAAUUGUUUAUGUUAAUGUCAUUUUCACUUUGUCCAUUUGGACCAUAUUGUGUGAUAUAUCUUGCUUGUGUAUAUUGUAUUUGUUUGUGUGGUCUUUGACCAUUAAUGUACAUAAUAAGAACAAAAACCCUAAAAACUUUUGUGUGGACUGUUGGCUUGAUCUUGGACAAUUGGACUUAGAAUCUAGGUAACUUCCCUAUUCAAAAGGACUUGGACAAUGCCAACUUUCAUGAAACCAAGUGCUUGCAAUUUGAAACUUCAUCUGAUACAUCAUUUAAGAUCCCUUUGAGUUCAUCUGCAAUAUGAUCUUUGUGAAGUUGUUAUUUUGAACCCGUGACUUGUGGAAUUCAUUUGCUACAUGGGAAAAUUUGAAGAAGAUCAUGGAGUUGUUAAGCUUUUGUAAGACCCUAAUUUUGAACCUAAGAUCCCUCAUGGCAUGAUAUCAUUUGCUCAAUGCAUUGCCUCAAGGAUCAUAGCAUGUGUGGCUCUUUUACCCUAGGGCUGGAUUUUUGUGAGUGGUUUGAGACCACCAAGCAUGCUUGUAUUGUAUAUUAUUGCUUUUCUUAUUUUAAUUAAUAACCAAAAUCACAAAAAUAUGUCACUAACUCUUUUUGUUUUGAAGCUCAAGUGAUCAUGUGCUCCCAUGCUCCUAAGCUCAAUGAAGUGGCUAGACGAAGAUGAAAAAAAGCAUGACAAUGGUCCACAAAGCUCCUAAUCAUCAUAUGUGUCUCCCAAGUAUCUUAAUUUUCCAAUUUUAUCAAGAUAACCCAAAAGGAUUGAGGAUUGUUUCCCAAGGAAACCCUAAUUCAACUAUACAUUGACUGUGCCUUGCUCUUGAAGCAACCUCAACCUAUGAUCAAAUUUAAUCAAGGGAAGUUCUUUAAUUCAUUAUUUUAUGCAUAUAUGAUAUUAUGUGAGGUUCCUCAAUCAUUCAUUCAUCAAGAUUUGAAGUUUGGCCUUGAGAAGUUGACCAGUCAAGUCAUCUGACUAAACUAAGGUUCAUUGAGAUACAAAUUUUGAUGUGUUUGUCAAAUGAAGAUUACCCCAAGAGAAAAUAUGUUAUUAAGAACCAUAUGAACAACGUUCAUGUUCAUCAAAAAUCCAUUUGAAACUUGGAAGGUCAUCAUUCAUUUCAAAACAUUAUAGGUCAUUUUGACUAAAACCCUAAUUUUGGGUCAACUUCCCAAGGAUCUAACUUCCUCAAUUUUUAUGAUUUUUAUAUGAGAAAAAAUGCAUUGGAAAUUUUAAGAUAUCUCUUUCAAAUGUUAUGUUGGACAAAAUUUCAUAAUCCUAAAAUAAACACAUGUGAUAAUACAAAACAUUAUAGGUCACUUUGGACCUAAGUCAUUGAAUUUGAAAUAAUGUCCAAUUUCAAGCGCCCAUAACUUUAUCAUCAAAACUCCAAAUGAUGAAAAAUUUAAGUCUACAUUGAUCACGUUUAAAAGAUCUACAACUUUGAUGUUGGAGGCGUUUCCAUUUGAGGCUUGCAUCAUUGAAAUAGAAGGGAUUGAAAGUGGUUGCUUUUGUUGAAAAUUUUCAAAGGGAACCUAGACAUGUUUUGUACCCAAAACUUCACAGCCAAUUUUCAUAAAUUUCCAAAGUCCAAAUGAAUUUUUUCCCAACAUGACUUUUGUUCCUUAUUCCAAGAGCUUUCCAACCAUUACUCGUAUGACCAUUUUUGGAUUUUUCAUGUUGGAGUUUCUAAGGGCUUAAUGUUUAUGCUCAUUUUUGCAAUUCACAUCAUAACUUGGAAUGCAAGUUUGUGCAGCCUCUUGUGCACGUCCAAUUCAACUACAUUUGAUCUCAUCAUGCAUUUCCAUUCAUUCUUGGGCUUUGCAAGCGCUUGUACAGGCCCAUGCAUGAAGGAUCCAAGUUUCAUGCACACGAGCUAAACACCACCUUGCAUCCAUUCCAGCUAUAAAUAGAUGCUCAUGCUCAUUCAAAAAUAAAACCUGAGGGAGAUCUGAAACGCUGCUGGAUUGAAAACCAAACCCCCACCUAAAGGAAUUUCAGUUUUCAUUUUCAAUUUCAAGCUUGAAUUUCAACAUCAUUAGUUGAUCUUCAAGUCUUAAUUCCUUAACCUUGCAUCAUCAUCACACUUCUAGAUCAAAUUUGGAUCAAGAGCUUGGACAAUUCGUGCUCUUUGAAGCUCCAUUUCAGAGGUAUAUAACUAAACUUUUUUGAUUUAGAUCUUGAAAUAUAAUGUGAAUCUCUUUGGUUUGUGGUGUUUUCUGAAGUCCUUAAGCAUGAGGCAGGCCAGUGGUGGUCUCAAUUUUGCAAAUCAUGCCAUUUCAGAUCAAGCACCAUGAUCUUCAAGCUCAGGUUUCUCUUCCAAUAGGAACUUUGAGAGUGAUCCAUGGUUACAGGGGUGAUGUACACCACCCCAGCUUCAUUUUGAUACCUUGCUUUUUCAUUUUCAUUGAAGUUGAAAUCCCUACGCGUGGUGGCCGGAAUCAGUUGUCUGGCCGGAGAAGAUGGUGAUUUCCACCACCAUCCCCACGUGGGAGCUUCAGGUCCAUUGGAUCUUGAGGAAAUGUUAUAAUCUUGGCCUUUCAUUUGUUUGACUUCUUUUAAUUCAAUGAACUGCGCGCUUGACUUGAGCACAUGGUGUGACCGCGCCUUUGAACCCUUAGAUCAUGGCCACGUCAUUUAAUGAAAUGAUCCAAGCGCGCUGGUUUUUUCUCUUUUUCUUAUUUCUGUUUUAAUUUCAUUUAAUUAACUUUAUUUUCAAAAAUUCAUAAAUAUUUUAUUUGAAGUCACAAAAAUAUGAGACCAAUGCCAAAAAAUUUCUUGAAAAAUCUAGUUUCAUAUUUUGAUGUUUAAUUAUUUUUGUGACUUCAUUUAAUAUUUUUUGUGAAUUAUUUGGUUUUUAAUAGUUCUAAUUCAUUUUAAAAUACUUUUUGAUAUUUGAAAAAUCCAAAAAUAUUUUCUUAACACAUAUGGAUCAUGAUAAGUCAAUAAAAAAUAGUCUCAUCAAUUUCUUAAUUGAUUUGAGAUUUGUUUGAGAUUUUAUUCAUGUUAUGUUAUUUUUUUUGUUUUUUAAUUGAUUUUAAAUAGUUUCUGAUUUCAAAAAUUGUUGGAAAAAUUUGUCAAAGUUUGUUUGACCAUGUUAGAUCUAUGAGAAUUUAAUUGGACUUGUUGAAGUUGAUUUGAAUUGAAUUUGAGGUUUGACCAUAUUUUGUUCAUUUUAUUUUUGUAUUUAUUUUAAUUCCAAAAAUACCAAAAAAAUAUGUUUGAUUUGUUGACUUGUAACCUUCAUUUCUCUUCUGUUUAGCAUUGGUUGACGAUGAUUUGAUUCACUUUUGACCAAUUGCUUUUGACACUUGAAUUCUCUUUUCAUUCAUUUCAUCUUCAUCUCAUUUCUUUUUAUUUUGGCCAAUGAGUUAAUGUCUUAGGGUUGGUCUUGACAUAUGAGAGGCUUAACCUUCUUUGAUCCAAAUCAAACUCAACUUGAUCCAAGAUCAAGUAAGUUGCUUUGUGUCAAAGAUAGGUUGCUUCUUGGUCAAGCAAAAAACCUAAAGUCCAUACAAGGCCUUUCUCUUUUCUUUUGGCAUGGCAAGUUUUUGGAGCUUGGCUUACUAGUCAUGAUCUCUAACUUGUGUUUAUUUUCCUAUAGUUUUAUUGACCGGCCUUAUAUAGGUGUGACUACUAUGUUAGUCCACUUACGAUUCCUUAACAUAGCGCUAAAUUGUCUUAUGAGAAAUUAACAUAACUCCACUAAUUACUAACUUUAAUUUGAGCAUUUAAUUUCUUGUAAUUUACUUUAAUGAACUCUAUUUCUUGCUCAUUUACUCAUAUUUCCCUUUUCCCUUUGCUAACUUGAGCACAUAUUUUAUGUUUAUGUCAUUUUCCUUUUGCCCAUCUGAGCUCAUUAUUGUAUAUAAAUAUAUUGUUGUCUUGUGUUGGUUUUGCUUUUGCUUUGUGUGAACCCAAUGCAAAAAGGAGAAAGGACUUAGAAUAGGACUUACCUAUGCUUAAAGGAGUUCAGGAGCAACUAGGCAUCAUGCCUUUAGAAUGCUAAAUUUGUUGAAGAGCAACUAGGCCUCAUGCCUUUAGAAUGCUAAAUUUCAAAGUUGACUUCAAAGGACUUCCUUUCCAAAACUCUUUCUUUGUCCAUUCCCCUUAUUGUGUUGUGAACUUUUUGAUGUUUGUUCUUGUGUGAUAGGGAUUCCAUCUUGAGAUAGUAAGAAGGACCAUUAUCAUGAGUAGCCAAGUUAAGAGAGACAAGCCAAAUGGAGAUCCUAGGAGCUUGAAUCUAAUUUGUUUGAUUUCUUGAUUGUGUGCUAAGUACAAAGAAAAUGAGCAUCUUGAAUCAUCUUAUGAUUUCAAGAAAAGGAACUUCAAGGGUUUUAUCUCUUCUCUUAUCUUUGUAUUCCUGUAAGAUUAGCCCUUCUCCUCUUCUCUCCACUCUAACCCAAGCUAAACUCAUUUUGUGCAAAAUUUAACUUUGUUUCAAAUUAGAAACCUAGGCCUUACGCCUUUGACUUUUCAAAGUCUUUUCAUUAAUACUCAUAAUGAAUAAAUCUUAAUCCAACCUUGACCUAAUUUUAUAAAUAAACAUAACUUGUAAAUAUAACUCACUUCAAGUUGAUUUUGUGGUUCCAAUGACCACCUUGGUUAAAACCUUUUUCAUAAACAUUAGUCAUAAGUUUGAGUUAUCAUAGUGGUUGAUGUAAACCUCACCUUAUCCUUAGUGUUUGGAUUAUAAGUCUUCCAUACUUAUUAUAGGGUUAACCCCUCACUAGUAUGUUGAAGCUCUUCUCACAUGGUGGAUUGUUGGUUUAGGUUGAGUUUUCUCCCUUUGAUAACAAAAGACCUUAAGGCUUUUGAUCAAAUCAAUUCACCAAUCUUUGAGAUUUUUACCCCGAACUACGAGGUUUUGAUCACAAAAGACCUUAAGGCUUUUGAUCAAAUCAAUUCACCAAUCUUUGAGAUUUUUACCCCGAACUACGAGGUUUUGAUCCUCCUUUGUGAUGGUACGUAGGAAAUGGGUUCAUCCAUUCAAACAACAAAUUUGUAAAUAUAAUCUAUUCUCUUCUCAUCCCCCAAAUCUUUUGCACAUAAUUUCACGAAUACCAACCUAUAACACAUAUUUGCAAAAAGAGGUUCCCUUAGAGUACUAAGGAUGUUUUAGGUGCGCAAAACCUUCCCAUUUCAUAACCAACCCCCUUACCUAGAUCUCUGACAUUUUUAUUAGUUUUUGAUUUG
This 39870-nucleotide long non-coding RNA is filed under the name Lathyrus oleraceus (garden pea). RNAcentral's name for it is "Pisum sativum (pea) long non-coding RNA (PSAT_LNC029712)". Lineage: Eukaryota; Viridiplantae; Streptophyta; Magnoliopsida; Fabales; Fabaceae. The record is from RNAcentral.